RNAcentral lists this ribosomal RNA (246 nucleotides) under uncultured bacterium. Its description in RNAcentral is "partial small subunit ribosomal RNA". It matches the Rfam family "Bacterial small subunit ribosomal RNA", at positions 26 to 285 of the family's 1533-position model. The record is from RNAcentral.
AGAAUCAACGCUGGCGGCGUGCCUAACACAUGCAAGUCGAACGAGAAAGUGGGAGCAAUCCCACGAGUAAAGUGGCGCACGGGUGAGUAACACGUGACUAACCUACCCUUGAGUGGGGAUAACCUAGGGAACCUGGGCUAAUACCGCAUAAUACCUACGGGUCAAAGGAGCAAUUCGCUUUAGGGAGGGGUCGCGGCAGAUUUAGUUAGUUGGCGGGGUAAUGGCCCACCAAGACAGUGAUCUGUA